Dendrobium catenatum is the source of this 375-nucleotide long non-coding RNA. RefSeq lists it as uncharacterized. Lineage: Eukaryota; Viridiplantae; Streptophyta; Magnoliopsida; Asparagales; Orchidaceae. The record is from RefSeq and is a predicted model, not a curated record. The transcript has 3 exons.
UAAGAAAAUAUUUGUUUAUAUUGCAGUCAAAGUUUGCAUUUCCUGGACAUAUACGUCACUUGAUUCUUCAAUCCCUUGGAGUUAAGUGGCGUAACCAUAAGACUAAUUUAAAAGCUGAGCAUUGGGACAGCCGUCCUAUCGAGGAAAUUAUGGAGUCUAUUUCAUCUGGUGUUGAUGCAACACAGUGGUGUCAUCUAGUCACCCAGUGGUCACAACCAAAAGACAAGGAGAGGGCCGUCAUAAAUUCUGCAAAAGCAAAGAAACAGACUUGUCCUCACACUAUGGGGCGUGCUAUCAAAGACAGAUUAUUAUUAUGGAGAGUUAAUAGAUUGCGUAAAGAUGGCACCUGGUCAUCUGAAGAUGCUAAUUAGAGAU